GAGACCCGGGCCAAGGGCAUGGUGGGGAAGCAGCAAGGACUAAAUGAAGCUCAUCAUGCUCACUGCCUGCCACUGAGGGCUUCCAGUUGUGGCAUGUGGGACGCUGCCUCAGCGUGGUUCAACGAGCAGUGUCAUGUCCGCGCCCAGGAUUCGAAUCAACGAAACACUGGGCCGCCUGCAGCGAAGCGAGCAAACUUAACCACUCUGCCACGGGGCCAGCCCCCCUUCCGGGGCCCUUUUGCUGCUGGAUGAGCCUGGUUCUCAGAUUGACAGCAAAUAGCAAAGCAAACAAGCUUCUCGAGACUGACGAUGUGGUGGUGCUAUCCUGGAUUAGGAGGAGUCCUUCUUCCUGAUUGCCUACUACUGUUAAGAGCACUAAAGUAAGCUUUCCUGGCUGAUGAAGUCCAGCACUCAAUGAGAAUGGCAGCUAAUCCUGAGUCAAUCUGCUGGAACUUAAAAGGAACCACCUCUAGGAGCUCCUCAAUAUCGUCCUCCUGCACUCAGGUUAGAGAUGUUUGUCGUCUCAACCACAGCCUUGCUGAUGUUUUGCACCGUCCUCAUCCUUGGCAAAUCCUUUGAAGUGAUGGACAAACCUCUUGGGAAUCUUCUUCCAGGUGCCAUUCAC
This 625-nucleotide long non-coding RNA is filed under the name Equus caballus (horse). Its description in RNAcentral is "lncRNA (ENSECAG00000056959.1)". The record is from RNAcentral. Lineage: Eukaryota; Metazoa; Chordata; Mammalia; Perissodactyla; Equidae.